UCCCUCUCUUCAACGCUCCCUCUUUCUCUCGUUCCGACGCUCACUCGCCGGCCACCACACGUCCUCUGUUAUCGUUCCCUCUCUGUUAGGUUUUAACAUGUUGGGUUAAGAAACCAGAAAAGACAGUUCCAAAGCCUUGAUCAGAAUCGAAGGCUUUGUAGUAAAAGAAACCAAGAAAAUAACAGAACAAAGAUUAGGGAAAAGUUCUUAAUCUGACAGGGAACAAGCUUUCUGGUCCAAUUGCUAAGGCUCUCAAGGAUAAGGCAGAUAAAGCUUUGCAAUUAAGG
This is a non-coding RNA of Cajanus cajan (pigeon pea), 287 nucleotides long. NCBI's taxonomy places the organism in Eukaryota, Viridiplantae, Streptophyta, Magnoliopsida, Fabales, Fabaceae. The record is from RefSeq and is a predicted model, not a curated record.